RNAcentral lists this ribosomal RNA (447 nucleotides) under Triploceras gracile. Its description in RNAcentral is "partial 18S ribosomal RNA". The stretch from base 25 to 390 matches the Rfam family "Group I catalytic intron". From Rfam's summary of the family: Group I catalytic introns are large self-splicing ribozymes. They catalyse their own excision from mRNA, tRNA and rRNA precursors in a wide range of organisms. Lineage: Eukaryota; Viridiplantae; Streptophyta; Zygnematophyceae; Desmidiales; Desmidiaceae. The record is from RNAcentral.
GGAAGGAGAAGUCGUAACAAGGUUUUUCAAUGGUUCUUCUCGUCCAGUUUGGGUUCGAGACGCACGGAAGCCUUAGCAUUGUUCCCUCCGACAAAGGGGAGAUGCUAGUGCUGGCACGGUUGGCCAGCGCGACGUCGUCAAAGUGCGGGAACAUUCUUCUAUGCGCGGACCGGGGAUACCAAGCGUGGCAACAUGCGUUAAGUCACUUGUUGAACGUGGCCGGGAAAAAGACCCCGGGUAUGGUAAAAACUCCCCAUCCGUUGAAGUGUAAUCACUUCGAAGAAUUACCUGCAGCCAAUCUUUCUCUUGGAGAAAGUGCUGUUCACAGACUAAAUGACGACGGGUCACUUGGGUGUGGCUCAAGAUAUAGUCGGGCCUGUUUCCGAACAGGAUGCCACUUUGUAUGCCACAUGGCAUUCGUCUACUCCGCAAGAGUAUUCACCGUUC